UGGGGAAUUGUUCGCAAUGGGCGCAAGCCUGACGACGCAACGCCGCGUGGAGGACGAAGAUCUUCGGGUCGUAAACUCCUGUCGAGCGGGAAGAACACCCGCCUGGUGAAUAACCGGGAGGGCUGACGGUACCGCUACAGGAAGCCCCGGCUAACUCCGUGCCAGCAGCCGCGGUAAUACGGGGGGGGCAAGCGUUGUCCGGAUUGACUGGGCGUAAAGCGCACGCAGGCGGCUGUGCACGUGGGGUGUGAAAGCUGGCGGCUUAACUGCCAGACGCCACCUCAUACGGCACGGCUCGAGCCCGUGAGAGGUCCACGGAAUUGCCGGUGUAGUGGUGAAAUGCGUAGAGAUCGGCAGGAACACCCAGGGGGAAACCAGUGGACUGGCACGGUGCUGACGCUCAGGUGCGAAAGCGUGGGGAGCGAAC
This 427-nucleotide ribosomal RNA is filed under the name uncultured bacterium. RNAcentral's name for it is "bacterial SSU rRNA". It matches the Rfam family "Bacterial small subunit ribosomal RNA", at positions 355 to 773 of the family's 1533-position model. The record is from RNAcentral.